This 761-nucleotide ribosomal RNA is filed under the name uncultured Prevotella sp. Its description in RNAcentral is "bacterial SSU rRNA". It matches the Rfam family "Bacterial small subunit ribosomal RNA", at positions 28 to 776 of the family's 1533-position model. The record is from RNAcentral. Lineage: Bacteria; Pseudomonadati; Bacteroidota; Bacteroidia; Bacteroidales; Prevotellaceae.
GAUGAACGCUAGCUAUAGGCUUAACACAUGCAAGUCGAGGGGAAACGGCAUUAUGUGCUUGCACAUUUUGGACGUCGACCGGCGCACGGGUGAGUAUCGCGUAUCCAACCUGCCCUUUACUUGGGGAUACCCCGUUGAAAGACGGCCUAAUACCCGAUGUAAUUCAUUGAUGGCAUCAGAUAUGAAUAAAAGAUUUCUCGGUAAAGGAUGGGGAUGCGUCUGAUUAGCUUGUUGGUGAGGUAAUGGCUCACCAAGGCGACGAUCAGUAGGGGUUCUGAGAGGAAGGUCCCCCACAUUGGAACUGAGACACGGUCCAAACUCCUACGGGAGGCAGCAGUGAGGAAUAUUGGUCAAUGGGCGCAAGCCUGAACCAGCCAAGUAGCGUGCAGGAAGACGGCCCUAUGGGUUGUAAACUGCUUUUAUACGAGAAUAAUUUGAUGCACGUGUGCGUUAUUGCAUGUAUCGUAUGAAUAAGGACCGGCUAAUUCCGUGCCAGCAGCCGCGGUAAUACGGAAGGUCCAGGCGUUAUCCGGAUUUAUUGGGUUUAAAGGGAGUGUAGGCGGUUUGUUAAGCGUGUUGUGAAAUUUAGAUGCUCAACAUUUAACUUGCAGCGCGAACUGUCAGACUUGAGUACACGCAACGUAUGCGGAAUUCAUGGUGUAGCGGUGAAAUGCUUAGAUAUCAUGAAGAACUCCGAUUGCGAAGGCAGCAUACGGGAGUGUAACUGACGCUUAAGCUCGAAGGUGCGGGUAUCGAACAGG